RNAcentral lists this ribosomal RNA (497 nucleotides) under uncultured bacterium. Its description in RNAcentral is "partial 16S ribosomal RNA". It matches the Rfam family "Bacterial small subunit ribosomal RNA", at positions 28 to 507 of the family's 1533-position model. The record is from RNAcentral.
GAUGAACGCUGGCGGCGUGCCUAAUACAUGCAAGUCGAGCGAACGGACGAGAAGCUUGCUUCUCUGAUGUUAGCGGCGGACGGGUGAGUAACACGUGGAUAACCUACUUAUAAGACUGGGAUAACUUCGGGAAACCGGAGCUAAUACCGGAUAAUAUUUUGAACCGCAUGGAUCAAAAGUGAAAGACGGUCUUGCUGUCACUUAUAGAUGGUUCCGCGCUGCAUUAGCUAGUUGGUAAGGUAACGGCUUACCAAGGCAACGAUGCAUAGCCGACCUGAGAGGGUGAUCAGCCACACUGGAACUGAGACACGGUCCAGACUCCUACGGGAGGCAGCAGUAGGGAAUCUUGCGCAAUGGGCGAAAGCCUGACGGAGCAACGCCGCGUGAGUGAUGAAGGUCUUCGGAUCGUAAAGCUCUGUUAUUAGGAAAGAACAUAUGUGUAUGUAACUGUGCACGUCUUGACGGUACCUAAUCAGAAAGCAACGGCUAACUACGUG